AUACAUGCAAGUCGAGCGGACCGACGGGAGCUUGCUCCCUUAGGUCAGCGGCGGACGGGUGAGUAACACGUGGGUAACCUGCCUGUAAGACUGGGAUAACUCCGGGAAACCGGGGCUAAUACCGGAUGCUUGAUUGAACCGCAKGGUUCAAUCAUAAAAGGUGGCUUUUAGCUACCACUURCAGAUGGACCCGCGGCGCAWUAGCUAGUUGGUGAGGUAACGGCUCACCAAGGCGACRAUBCGUAGCCMACCUGAGAGGGUGAUCGGCCACACUGGGACUGARACACGGCCCARACUCCUACGGGAGGCAGCAGUAGGGAAUCUUCCGCAAUGGACGAAAGUCUGACGGARCAACGCCCCGUGAGUGAUGAAGGUUUUCGGAUCGUAAAACUCUKUUGUUAGGGAARAACAAGUACCGUUCGAAUAGGGCGGYACCUUGACGGUACCUAACCAGAAAGCCACGGCUAACUACGUGCCAGCAGCCGCGGUAAUACGUAGGUGGCAAGCGUUGUCCGGAAUUAUUGGGCGUAAAGCGCGCGCAGGCGGUUUCUUAAGUCUGAUGUGAAAGCCCCCGGCUCAACCGGGGAGGGUCAUUGGAAACUGGGGAACUUGAGUGCAGAAGAGGAGAGUGGAAUUCCACGUGUAGCGGUGAAAUGCGUAGAGAUGUGGAGGAACACCAGUGGCRAARGCRACUCUCUGGUCUGUAACUGACGCUGAGGCGCGAAAGCGUGGGGAGCGAACAGGAUUAGAUACCCUGGUAGUCCACGCCGUAAACGAUGAGUGCUAAGUGUUAGAGGGUUUCCGCCCUUUAGUGCUGCAGCAAACGCAUUAAGCACUCCGCCUGGGGAGUACGGUCGCAAGACUGAAACUCAAAGGAAUUGACGGGGGCCCGCACAAGCGGUGGAGCAUGUGGUUUAAUUCGAAGCAACGCGAAGAACCUUACCAGGUCUUGACAUCCUCUGACAACCCUAGAGAUAGGGCUUCCCCUUCGGGGGCAGAGUGACAGGUGGUGCAUGGUUGUCGUCAGCUCGUGUCGUGAGAUGUUGGGUUAAGUCCCGCAACGAGCGC
RNAcentral lists this ribosomal RNA (1068 nucleotides) under Bacillus licheniformis. Its description in RNAcentral is "bacterial SSU rRNA". The record is from RNAcentral. Lineage: Bacteria; Bacillati; Bacillota; Bacilli; Caryophanales; Bacillaceae.